Molecule: ribosomal RNA, 383 nt
Filed under: uncultured bacterium
Lineage: Bacteria
Description: bacterial SSU rRNA
Rfam family: Bacterial small subunit ribosomal RNA
Source: RNAcentral
AUUGAACGCUGGCGGCAUGCCUUACACAUGCAAGUCGAACGGCAGCGGGCCUUCGGGUGCCGGCGAGUGGCGAACGGGUGAGUAAUGCAUCGGAACGUGCCAUUGAGUGGGGGAGUAACGUAGCGAAAGUUAACGCUAAUACCGCAUAUUCUGUGAGCAGGAAAGACAGGGGACCGGCAAGGCCUUGCGCUCUUUGAGCGGCCGAUGUCAGAUUAGCUAGUUGGUGAGGUAAAGGCUUACCAAGGCGACGAUCUGUAGCGGGUCUGAGAGGAUGAUCCGCCACACUGGAACUGAGACACGGUCCAGACUCCUACGGGAGGCAGCAGUGGGGGAAUUUUGGACAAUGGGCGCAAGCCUGAUCCAGCCAUGCCGCGUGAGUGAAG